This is a long non-coding RNA of Elgaria multicarinata webbii, 2026 nucleotides long. RefSeq lists it as uncharacterized. The record is from RefSeq and is a predicted model, not a curated record. The transcript is spliced from 2 exons. Lineage: Eukaryota; Metazoa; Chordata; Lepidosauria; Squamata; Anguidae.
CUUCUCUUCUCCAGGCUAAACAUGCCCAGUUCUUUCAGUCUCUCUUCAUGGGGCUUUGUUUCCAGACCCCUGAUCAUCCUGGUUGCCCUCCUCCUCUGAACACGCUCCAGCUUGUCUGCGUCCUUCUUGAAUUGUGGAGCCCAGAACUGGAUGCAAUACUCUAGAUGAGGCCUAACCAGGGCCGAUUCUCUGUAGCGCUAAACUUUCGCAGUGGUUGUCAUUUUUGCUACCGAUCCUUUGCAUACCAGGAAGUGAGUAUAAGGGGGGAAAUGUAAAAAAUCAUUAAAAAAAUCAACGGAUGACCCAAUUCAAUUCAAAUUUGGUAUGCUUAAAGCUCUCCCUAAUAUCUAUUACUGUGCCAAUUUUGGUGUCUUUAUCAUGAAAGCUUACGCAGAUGUAAGCAUUUGUUUAAAAUCCUGCUCCUGUGCCCCAGCGGCUACGCUCAAAAAGUAGGGGCUCAAUAUGUCAAAUCUUUUUUGCUUUAUUGCACAAUUAAGGCAGGAUGCCUGGAAGUACUUCACAAUCAAAGCAGAUUAUAAGGUGGAAAACUUCUGAGUCCUUUGCAUGCAAUUCACAGUGAUUGCACAGUAUAACGCUGGGGUGAUAAAGCUCUUUGUUGUGAAGGGGCAGGAUGGAUGCCUUGUUUGCAAUAAGUGACUGUCUUAAGACAGUGCCUUUGAAAGCUAUUUGCACUUCAGGCUAUAGGUUUCACUGUGCUGGGUCCAAGGGGUUGCCUGUACCAGGGAAAAGCCCCGUGGCAGCUGUGGAUCUGCUCCACGCCGCAGCUUCGCAGCCCCCGCGGGGCUUUCCUGCGAUGCUGCGUUUUGAAGGAGUUAGGGAUUUACCCCAGCUUUUUUAAAAGGAGUGACGUCAACACAGCGGAGCCCGGUGGAAGGCGACCGGCAAUUGGUCGCCUUCCACCAGGAAAAGGACGUGGGUGGCUCCGGGACCCAAAUGGCCACCCAGAAACCCUGCGCUCCCUCCUCGGCGUUGGGAUUAUCCGACGCCACCCCAAGGGAGAGAAAGCGCGGGGUUGACGAGGGAGGCAGUGCCAACCCAGCGCCGUGAAGACACCCCCCUCUGGUUUUGGAGGCCCUUAGGCAGGAUGCCCUCCAUGGGCCUCCUACCUGAGUGUGUCCACCUCUUUCGCAAUUCUGCUGCCCAUUCGCUUCCUGUUUCCCUCUGAUCUCAAGAGGGCGAUUCCCAAGGCAAAGGAAGGAAGCUGCUGUACCUUCUCACUCUGUUUAUGGCUUGCGCAGGGCAGGUGAACAAGCAGCCACAUCCAGAAAGGGGAGCAUCAGGGUCAGGAGGCACCAAAGGUUAUCAGUGGGGCCUUUGCAGAGGGGGGCACGCACCUCUGCAGAGGCCCAACGAUGCCUGUCUCUGGUGCUGGGACUGUAAUGGUGGCUCCAGGCUUUUGAGGUCCUUUGGACAAGUCACACCCUCAAUGGGCCUCCUCUCUCAGUGAGUCCUCAGCUGCUCCUGCUUCUCCUCUUUCUCCCCAUUGCUCCAGCUUGUUUGCUUGACAGGCAGAAAGCCAGUGAGCAAGUAGGCCGUGGCAUCUACUGCUGCUCGUCCCCAUCACCACAGUUGCCUGGGCCAGGACUGGAGGCAGGUGGACAAGCAGGUUGCCAUGGUGAAGAGGAGGAACAACUCCAGGAGAAUCCUGUCAAUGGGUCCCUGCUGGGGUGUGGGCCCUUGGCUGGUGCCCAUGUAUGCCUACCCUUGACGCCAGCCCUGCAGCCCUGGCAGGUUGGACUAGCUAGCAGACGUGCGCAAAAGCAUCACUGCUCAAUUGAACUCUGCGCAACCACUGGCGUCAAAGUCGAAACACAGAACGAAGAACUUUGUUGGAAUACGGAUUGCGCCUGGCCGUACUACGAGCCACCCAGGAACUCAGCGUGGGUACAUGGCCAUGACUUCCAAAGCGAACAGAAUUCCAGCAAUUGACCACCAUGGCGAAAAAGUGCUGUCGUGUAUGCACAAUUGCGCUUUGAAGCACUCAUAAUAAACCUUUUGUCGUUGA